AGCUGGUCGGGGUCGACGGCGCGGGACGCGAGGAGGUAGUCGCGCAUCACGAUGCCGUGGCGGCCCUC
Small RNA from Streptomyces alboflavus, 68 nucleotides. It matches the Rfam family "ASdes TB sRNA". NCBI's taxonomy places the organism in Bacteria, Bacillati, Actinomycetota, Actinomycetes, Kitasatosporales, Streptomycetaceae. The record is from Rfam.